UACGUAGGGACCGAGCGUUGUCCGGAUUCAUUGGGCGUAAAGAGCUCGUAGGCGGCUGCUCAAGUCGAAUGUGAAAACUCGAGGCUCAACCUCGAGCCUGCAUUCGAUACUGGGCGGCUAGAGUCUGGUAGGGGGAUCUGGAAUUCCCGGUGUAGUGGUGGAAUGCGUAGAUAUCGGGAGGAACACCAGUGGCGAAGGCGGUUGCCUGGAGCUUUGCUGACGCUGAUGCGCGAAAGCGUGGGGAGCGAUCCGG
RNAcentral lists this ribosomal RNA (253 nucleotides) under uncultured bacterium. RNAcentral's name for it is "partial 16S ribosomal RNA". It matches the Rfam family "Bacterial small subunit ribosomal RNA", at positions 524 to 776 of the family's 1533-position model. The record is from RNAcentral.